AGAGUUUGAUCCUGGCUCAGAUUGAACGCUGGCGGCAGGCCUAACACAUGCAAGUCGAACGCUUCUCUUUUCACCGGAGCUUGCUCCAACGAAAAGAGAAGAGCGGCGGACGGGUGAGUAACACGUGGGCAACCUGCCCAACAGAGGGGGAUAACACUUGGAAACAGGUGCUAAUACCGCAUACGUCAUCAUUCCACAUGGAAAGAUGACAAAAGACGCUACGGUGUCACUGUUGGAUGGGCCCGCGCUGCAUUAGUUAGUUGGUGAGGUAACGGCUCACCAAGACCAUGAUGCAUAGCCGACCUGAGAGGGUGAUCGGCCACACUGGGACUGAGACACGGCCCGGACUCCUACGGGAGGCAGCAGUAGGGAAUCUUCGGCAAUGGACGGAAGUCUGACCGAGCAACGCCGCGUGAGUGAAGAAGGUUUUCGGAUCGUAAAACUCUGUUGUUAGAGAAGAACAGGUGUAAGAGUAACUGCUUACAUUUCGACGGUAUCUAACCAGAAAGUCACGGCUAACUACGUGCCAGCCGCCGCGGUAAUUC
This 545-nucleotide ribosomal RNA is filed under the name uncultured bacterium. Its description in RNAcentral is "bacterial SSU rRNA". It matches the Rfam family "Bacterial small subunit ribosomal RNA", at positions 8 to 526 of the family's 1533-position model. The record is from RNAcentral.